GGAUAGUUCCUUGAACCGCAUGGUUCAAGGAUGAAAGACGGUUUCGGCUGUCACUUACAGAUGGACCCGCGGCGCAUUAGCUAGUUGGUGAGGUAACGGCUCACCAAGGCGACGAUGCGUAGCCGACCUGAGAGGGUGAUCGGCCACACUGGGACUGAGACACGGCCCAGACUCCUACGGGAGGCAGCAGUAGGGAAUCUUCCGCAAUGGACGAAAGUCUGACGGAGCAACGCCGCGUGAGUGAUGAAGGUUUUCGGAUCGUAAAGCUCUGUUGUUAGGGAAGAACAAGUGCAAGAGUAACUGCUUGCACCUUGACGGUACCUAACCAGAAAGCCACGGCUAACUACGUGCCAGCAGCCGCGGUAAUACGUAGGUGGCAAGCGUUGUCCGGAAUUAUUGGGCGUAAAGGGCUCGCAGGCGGUUUCUUAAGUCUGAUGUGAAAGCCCCCGGCUCAACCGGGGAGGGUCAUUGGAAACUGGGAAACUUGAGUGCAGAAGAGGAGAGUGGAAUUCCACGUGUAGCGGUGAAAUGCGUAGAGAUGUGGAGGAACACCAGUGGCGAAGGCGACUCUCUGGUCUGUAACUGACGCUGAGGAGCGAAAGCGUGGGGAGCGAACAGGAUUAGAUACCUUGGUAGUCCACGCCGUAAACGAUGAGUGCUAAGUGUUAGGGGGUUUCCGCCCCUUAGUGCUGCAGCUAACGCAUUAAGCACUCCGCCUGGGGAGUACGGUCGCAAGACUGAAACUCAAAGGAAUUGACGGGGGCCCGCACAAGCGGUGGAGCAUGUGGUUUAAUUCGAAGCAACGCGAAGAACCUUACCAGGUCUUGACAUCCUCUGACAACCCUAGAGAUAGGGCUUUCCCUUCGGGGACAGAGUGACAGGUGGUGCAUGGUUGUCGUCAGCUCGUGUCGUGAGAUGUUGGGUUAAGUCCCGCAACGAGCGCAACCCUUGAUCUUAGUUGCCAGCAUUUAGUUGGGCACUCUAAGGUGACUGCCGGUGACAAACCGGAGGAAGGUGGGGAUGACGUCAAAUCAUCAUGCCCCUUAUGACCUGGGCUACACACGUGCUACAAUGGACAGAACAAAGGGCUGCGAGACCGCAAGGUUUAGCCAAUCCCACAAAUCUGUUCUCAGUUCGGAUCGCAGUCUGCAACUCGACUGCGUGAAGCUGGAAUCGCUAGUAAUCGCGGAUCAGCAUGCCCGCGGUGAAUACGUUUCCCGGGCCUUGUACACACCGCCCGUCACACCACGAGAGUUUGCAACACCCGGAAGUCGGUGAGGUAACCUUUAAU
This 1291-nucleotide ribosomal RNA is filed under the name uncultured Bacillus sp. RNAcentral's name for it is "bacterial SSU rRNA". It matches the Rfam family "Bacterial small subunit ribosomal RNA", at positions 171 to 1445 of the family's 1533-position model. Lineage: Bacteria; Bacillati; Bacillota; Bacilli; Caryophanales; Bacillaceae. The record is from RNAcentral.